AGAGAGAGUAAACCGCGGAUUUGCAUGCCAACGUUUGACUGUCCGUAUUAUAUAAAAUUUUUUUAUAAUUAGUAUUUUCAUUGUUGUUAGAUGAUAAAACAUGAUAAAUACUUUAUGCGUGACUUAUUUUUUUAUUUUUUUUAUAAUUUUUUCAAAUAAGACGGACGGUUAAACAUUGGACACGGAAACCAGGGUUUGUCUUUUU
This is a microRNA precursor of Oryza sativa Indica Group (long-grained rice), 205 nucleotides long. It matches the Rfam family "MIR812 microRNA precursor family". NCBI's taxonomy places the organism in Eukaryota, Viridiplantae, Streptophyta, Magnoliopsida, Poales, Poaceae. The record is from Rfam.